RNAcentral lists this ribosomal RNA (439 nucleotides) under uncultured bacterium. RNAcentral describes it as "partial 16S ribosomal RNA". It matches the Rfam family "Bacterial small subunit ribosomal RNA", at positions 338 to 795 of the family's 1533-position model. The record is from RNAcentral.
CCUACGGGAGGCAGCAGUAGGGAAUAUUGCACAAUGGGGGAAACCCUGAUGCAGCAACGCCGCGUGGAGGAAGAAGGUUCUCGGCUUGUAAACCCCUUUCAUCAGAGAAGAUAAUGACGGUACCUGAAAAUGAGCCCACGCUAACUUCGUGCCAGCCGCCGCCGUAAUACGGAGGGUGCAAGCGUUAAUCGGAAUUUCUGGGCGGAAAGAGCGCGUAGGCGGGAUAGCAAGUCAGAAGUGAAAUCCUAGGGCUUAACCCUCGGACUGCAUUUGAAACUGUGAGGCUGGAGUGUGGGAGGGGUAGGCGGAAUUCCUGGUGUAGGGGUGAAAUGCGUAGAGAUCAGGAGGAAUACUCGUGGCGAAGGCGGCCUGCUGGACCACAACUGACGUUGAGGCGCGAAAGCGUGGGGAGCAAACAGGAUUAGAUACCCGUGUAGUC